Molecule: transfer RNA, 75 nt
Filed under: Thermoplasmata archaeon
Lineage: Archaea; Methanobacteriati; Thermoplasmatota; Thermoplasmata
Description: tRNA-Gly
Rfam family: tRNA
About the family: Transfer RNA (tRNA) molecules are approximately 80 nucleotides in length.
Source: RNAcentral
GCAGGUGUAGUCUAGUCUGGUUUAGGACGUUGGCCUUCCAAGCCAACAACUCGGGUUCGAAUCCCGGCACCUGCA